CGGGGUGCAGCAGGCGCGAAAACUCUACAAUGCAGGCAACUGCGAUAGGGGAACAUCGAGUGAUCCUCAUAUUGGGGGUCUGUCCACCCGUCUAAAAAACGGGUGUUAGCAAGGGCCGGGCAAGACCGGUGCCAGCCGCCGCGGUAAUACCGGCGGCUCGAGUGGUGGCCGAUAUUAUUGAGUCUAAAGGGUCCGUAGCCGGCUUUGCAAGUCUCUCGGGAAAUCCAGCGGCUUAACCGUUGGUCGUCCGGGGGGUACUACAUUGCUUGGGACUGGGAGAGGUAGGAGGUACUCAGGGGGUAGAAGUGAAAUCCUGUAAUCCUUUGGGGACCACCGGUGGCGAAGGCGUCCUACCAGAACAGGUCCGACGGUGAGGGACGAAAGCUAGGGGCACGAACCGGAUUAGAUACCCGGGUAGUCCUAGCCGUAAACGAUGCUCGCUAGGUGUCACAACAGUCGUGAACUGUUGUGGUGCCGUAGGGAAGCCGUGAAGCGAGCCACUUGGGAAGUACGACCGCAAGAUUGAAACUUAAAGGAAUUGGCGG
This 545-nucleotide ribosomal RNA is filed under the name uncultured archaeon. RNAcentral's name for it is "bacterial SSU rRNA". It matches the Rfam family "Archaeal small subunit ribosomal RNA", at positions 326 to 871 of the family's 1478-position model. The record is from RNAcentral.